Molecule: small nuclear RNA, 106 nt
Organism: Octodon degus (degu)
Lineage: Eukaryota; Metazoa; Chordata; Mammalia; Rodentia; Octodontidae
Source: Ensembl
GUGCUUGUAUCAACAGCGCAUAUACUAAAAUUAGAAUGAUAUAGAGAAGAUUAGCGCGGCCCCUGCACAAGGAUGACAACAAAUUCAUGAAGCAUUCUGCAUUUUU